CACACUCCCACACAAUCGCUCCUGUCACACCGCCGGGCCAAAGCUUUUAGCACUGGCUUCUGUCUUGGGUUACAACUCACAAACAGGUAUCCAGGCAGACACAUUAUGUAAUAUGCUACAAAUUCAAGUACAGUACAUACGCCUACAUCAUUACUCUGAUGUUUCAGGAAUUUCAAACCAUCCCAGUGGCUGGAGCAUCUGCUAACAUCAGUGUAACUGUGUAUGUGUGUGUGUGUGCUGCUUUGAACAAAGUCUGUAGAUGAACUGCUUUUAUUUUGUGCUCCGACAGAAUGGGAUCUGAU
Long non-coding RNA from Cyprinus carpio (common carp), 302 nucleotides. Lineage: Eukaryota; Metazoa; Chordata; Actinopteri; Cypriniformes; Cyprinidae. The record is from Ensembl.